This is a long non-coding RNA of Danio aesculapii, 782 nucleotides long. RefSeq lists it as uncharacterized. The transcript has 2 exons. NCBI's taxonomy places the organism in Eukaryota, Metazoa, Chordata, Actinopteri, Cypriniformes, Danionidae. The record is from RefSeq and is a predicted model, not a curated record.
GUGUGUUUGUGAGCGAGUUUGUGGAAAUACAGAAGGAUGACCCAACGCAUGAGGCAGGCAGAUGACAGGAUGGGAAAGAGAUUGUUUUCAAGAGAGACUGGAAAACAGUCAUCUAUCUGAAUGCAGAUCUCAUACUGUGGCCGCAGGACUCCAGACAGCCACAAUAUAUCAAUGACACAGCAGACAUCUGAGGUGAAAAACUUUUCAUCAUUUGCUUUUUUAAGGAAUGAUUAAGACACAAAGCUCAGCAAGUGAAAUGGCUUUCUGCACAGCAAAACCCCUCUGGUUCUCUGGACCGCCUGCAUGUAUGAUCUGGAUUGGCAAGUGGUGCGCUAUUUAGGUUUUGUAAGGUUAUAGGUUUUGAAAGUAUAGGUUUUGUAAUUCAUCACUAUGAGGUGGAACUCGUUUUGAUGACUUGUCAUAUCCAAUCAUUUUGAGGCACCACUGAAGGAGCAUAACGGCCAGAGAAACAGAGGAAACGGACAAACUAACACCAUGGCAUAUGCAAAUGUAUGUGUGUGUGUGUGUGUGUGUGUGUGUGUGUGUUUCAGACGCAGAGACACAAGCACAAAGUCAGUUGUUCUGAUUCACAGUUCACUCCUUUUAGGCAGGUGUCAAAAAUAUCACAAGGAAAAGAGGAAGCAGUCAGGGAGAAUUAAAGACAGACACUCAGACACACCAAAGAGAAAGUUUCAUCAUGCUGAAAGAUGGAGGAAGGGUUAGGAUGUACGUGCCAAAAUGACUAAGUACAAAGAUGACAUUAAAGACUUAUGACAACAAAA